This 898-nucleotide long non-coding RNA is filed under the name Fukomys damarensis (Damara mole-rat). RNAcentral's name for it is "lncRNA (ENSFDAG00000027991.1)". The record is from RNAcentral. Lineage: Eukaryota; Metazoa; Chordata; Mammalia; Rodentia; Bathyergidae.
CCUCCAUUGGUCACUUUCCCACAGCUGAGGCACAAUACUUCACAUUCCCUACUCACCAGGGUUUGAGGACUUUCAGCCUGUAGUCUGUAGACUCAGAUGCAGAAAUGGCACGGGACAAGGGUCUGGCCGAAAAAGCUGCUUACCUCGUGGUGACCAUGAAACAGAGAGUGAAGGGAGGAGCUGAAGAGAGAAAUACAACCUUUCGGGCCACUCCCUGAGUGACCCACUGCUGCUGACCGCACCUCACCUCCCAUGGUGCUGAGGUCUCCAGUGGACGGCUCCACCCAGGAGGACAAUGCCCUAUGAUCUAAUCACCCCUAAAGCCCUCUUCUGAGAGCACGAGAAUUCGGCAGGACAUUCCAGUUCCAAAGCACGACGUUCAUUCUGGGGGUAUGAUCUACCGGCACCACGUGAGCUAGAACCACUUUUCUGAAUUUGAAACUUUUUAAAAUAACCACCAACGAUAAUGUGGAAAUGACUCGCUUUCCAGCCUGUGGAUCCAAGACUCUGUAUCACCAACAUGUCGGCAUCUUUCUGAUCAUCCAGGAAGGAGAUUACAUUCCUACUUACAUUUUUCAUGCUAUGUCAGGAUGAGUAUUGCAAUAGCAUCACAGAUUUAUAUGGACAACAGGCUUUGGAAGGAGGCGUUUCAGAGUAAACGGUGCUACUGGAUAAUACUGUUGAGUAAGAAUCAACCAAUGAGACCACUUCAAAUAAAAAUGCUCUAUAGAGCAAAGACAGCAGCACGGUGAAGAGAUAACCUACUGAAGAGGAGCGAAUCCUUGCUGACUGCUCUUCCCAAGGGGACUAGUAUCUGCGCUAUAUGAAAUACUUAAAAACUAACCCAAUAAACACAACAAAAUUAUUCUAAUUUACUCCCUGUCAAAGAAUAGCACCU